GUAGGUGAACCUGCGGAAGGAUCAUUGUCGAUACCUGUCCAAAACAGAACGACCCGCGAACCAAAGAUCACCACUCUCGGUGGGCCGGUUUCUUAGCCGAUUCCUUGCCCGCCGGAUCCGUGGUUUCGCGUAUCGGCAUGCUCGGGAGCUUUUAUCUCGGUCUUGUCGUGCGCGUUGCUUCCGGAUAUCACAAAACCCCAGCACGAAAAGUGUCAAGGAACAUGCAAACGAACGGCUGGCAUUCGCCUCCCCGGAGACGGAGUGUGGGCGGAUGCUGUGCUGCGAACUGAAGUCUAAAACGACUCUCGGCAACGGAUAUCUCGG
Molecule: small RNA, 324 nt
Filed under: Arabidopsis thaliana (thale cress)
Lineage: Eukaryota; Viridiplantae; Streptophyta; Magnoliopsida; Brassicales; Brassicaceae
Description: ATSL077090
Source: RNAcentral